This 72-nucleotide transfer RNA is filed under the name Haplophryne mollis. RNAcentral's name for it is "tRNA-Val". It matches the Rfam family "tRNA". From Rfam's summary of the family: Transfer RNA (tRNA) molecules are approximately 80 nucleotides in length. The record is from RNAcentral. Lineage: Eukaryota; Metazoa; Chordata; Actinopteri; Lophiiformes; Linophrynidae.
CAGAGCAUAGCCAAGCCAGUAUAGCACCUCCCUUACACCGAGAAGACGCCCGUGCAAAUCGGACUGCCCUGA